This 266-nucleotide long non-coding RNA is filed under the name Prunus persica (peach). RNAcentral describes it as "long non-coding RNA (PPER_LNC000293)". Lineage: Eukaryota; Viridiplantae; Streptophyta; Magnoliopsida; Rosales; Rosaceae. The record is from RNAcentral.
GGGAACAUUACAUAUAAAUAUGGUUUGACCUAAAUAUUAAUUGCUACAACAAGGACAGCCUCUCCUAAUAGUGAAAAGGUCACACAAUGUUUGGAACGUAGUGCCUGUUUUCCAUGUGCACGUGCUGUAGCUAUCAAUGUGAGUUCCACUCUGGAUUAUGCAGUGGGCUCAGUCACGUGCACCGCCGGCCCACGCCAUCUCCCGUGGGCUCUCACCUGUCUUGCAGCACUAUCAAAGUGUGGACCAUUCCACUUCAUCAAUCAAAU